GCCCUUGUGGUGAAAUUGGUAGACACGCUGGCUUUAGGUGCCAGUUACUUCGGUAGUGGGGGUUCGACUCCCUCCAAGGGCACCA
RNAcentral lists this transfer RNA (85 nucleotides) under Anaerolineales bacterium. RNAcentral describes it as "tRNA-Leu". It matches the Rfam family "tRNA". Rfam says of the family: Transfer RNA (tRNA) molecules are approximately 80 nucleotides in length. Their secondary structure includes four short double-helical elements and three loops (D, anti-codon, and T loops). Lineage: Bacteria; Bacillati; Chloroflexota; Anaerolineae; Anaerolineales. The record is from RNAcentral.